CCCCUCCUCGCCCCCACUGACGAUCUUCCAGUCAUCCAUCUGGACUGCGGACACCCCCAGCUGAUGGGCGGACAGUGACAGGGCGAUUUUAUCACUGCGGAGGUCAUGGAGCCUCACUCUGGAAGAUGCGAGGAGAGGGGUUAGUGAGGAAGCCUGCAUCCCCAGCCCGGCUUCAGCUAUGUGGUCCCUGCAGCAUCCCAUGGGACUCAACAUCUGCAGUAGGAUCGACACUUGGUCUUCUGAUCAGACAAACCCCAUGAAAGCCCUGGCAAGGCAAAGGUCUGAAGGCUCAACGUGAGCAGCUGCCUGCUCAUGUGUGGUCUCAAGUGCACACGAGACAAUCACAGAUCAGACCUGCUGCACGCACAGAGGACGAAGAUGGAUAUUGCAGUUCUGUGCCAGAGAAGUUGGACUUCAGAGCUAAUUUUACUAUUUUGUCAACCUGCCCAGGAGAACCAAAGCCACGGGGCCCUAACUUCCUUUUUACAGAUGGUGCUUCAUGGACUUUAGACUUCUGCUUCUCUGUUCUCUAUCACCUCCCCAGCUUUUCUGUUUGAGUCCAUUUUUUAAGCUACGGAAUUGAAAAUUUAGACGAGUGAGUGACUUUCUAGGAAAGAAGAGAAAAACCAGAUCAAAGCCGUGAUAGAGAGCAACAGGCAGGGCUGGCCAGCCGUGCGAGGGGCCGCUGCCUACGGGCUCUGAAUACAGAAGCCAGGAAGGGAUGUUGUUAGCACAGCUGACAUCAGGCAGACAACCUCGAGCCCCACAGGAAGCCCCUGGAGACUAGCGGAGCUACCAUGUCCCGCCCACAGAAGAAAACCCAGUCAGCUCUACGAGGGCUGAACACCCCCCCCACCCCCGCUCCAACAGGACGCCUCCAAACAGCCAGGCAUGAUCACACCGCUCCUGCCUGCCCAGUGUUAGAAACGAUAAAUGCCAUGAAGAUCAGGAAUGACACUGCGACAGCAAUUUAUCCAUGUGAAUAUGCCCAACUCAACAACUACAUUGAACAGUUGUCUGUCUAUGUAGUGCCUGCAGCUGGCAGAGGAGGCCAUCAGAUCCUCUGGAGCUGGAGUUACAGCUGCUAGUUACCAUGUGGGUGCUGGGAAUUGAACCCAGGUCCUCUGGGACAACAGCCUAUGCUCUUAACUGUUAAGCCAUCUCUCCAGCCCAAACAGCUACAUUUUGUAUACCACCCACUAAUUGUAAGAAACAGUCAAGGAGCUGGAGAUAUGGCUCCACAGUUAAAAGCAUGGCUUGCUCUUGGAGAGUUUGGUUCCUAGCACCCACAUCUGGUGGACCACAAACAGCUGUAACUCCAGCUCCUGGGCCCCAGUGUCCUCUUCUGGACUCUGUGGGCACCAUAUGAUCUUACAUGGAUUUCAGUUUUAGGAUAGCAGUUAAUAUCAGUAUACUGUGUUUUCUCAACUCAGAGCUGAGUUAUAUAUAAUACCAGCUACCCGAGAGGCUGAGGCAGGAGGAUUGCAAGUUCCAGGCCACCCUGAACAGCUUAGUGAUAUUCUGUGUUGAAUAAAAACGUGGACUGUA
Peromyscus californicus insignis is the source of this 1548-nucleotide long non-coding RNA. RefSeq lists it as uncharacterized. The record is from RefSeq and is a predicted model, not a curated record. The transcript has 2 exons. NCBI's taxonomy places the organism in Eukaryota, Metazoa, Chordata, Mammalia, Rodentia, Cricetidae.